Molecule: ribosomal RNA, 266 nt
Filed under: uncultured Corynebacterium sp.
Lineage: Bacteria; Bacillati; Actinomycetota; Actinomycetes; Mycobacteriales; Corynebacteriaceae
Description: partial 16S ribosomal RNA
Rfam family: Bacterial small subunit ribosomal RNA
Source: RNAcentral
GCACGUGAUGUGGGGACGUCAUGAGAGACUGCCGGGGUUAACUCGGAGGAAGGUGGGGAGUGACGUCAAAUCAUCAUGCCCCUUAUGUCCAGGGCUUCACACAUGCUACAAUGGUCGGUACAACGCGUGUGCGACACUGUGAGGUGAAGCUAAUCGCUCUAAAGCCGGCCGUAGUUCGGAUUGGGGUCUGCAACUCGACCCCAUGAAGUCGGAGUCGCUAGUAAUCGCAGAUCAGCAACGCUGCGGUGAAUACGUUCCCGGGCCUU